This 254-nucleotide ribosomal RNA is filed under the name uncultured bacterium. Its description in RNAcentral is "partial 16S ribosomal RNA". It matches the Rfam family "Bacterial small subunit ribosomal RNA", at positions 524 to 776 of the family's 1533-position model. The record is from RNAcentral.
UACGGGGGAUGCAAGUGUUAUCCGGAUUUAUUGGGUUUAAAGGGUGCGUAGGCUGUGAGGUAAGUCAGCGGUGAAAUGCCCCCGCUCAACGGGGUGAAGUGCCAUUGAUACUGCCUUGCUGGAAUGCGGAUGCCGUGGGAGGAAUGUGUGGUGUAGCGGUGAAAUGCAUAGAUAUCACACAGAACACCGAUUGCGAAGGCAUCUCACGAAUCCGCUAUUGACGCUGAUGCACGAAAGCGUGGGUAUCAAACAGG